UCCGCGGUCCCCCGAAACCCCAGCUGCUCCUCUUCAGGCAACGCAUCGAGGACGACGCGGCUCUGCCGGAACGGCACCGGCUGGGCCUCGCCGGACGACUAACCGUCUGCGGCCGUCUUCUUCUCGUCCGCGGAAUCAAGCGCCGCCCCUCCUAGCCGUCCCAGGCCACCGGACACAUCGACUUCUCAUCGGGCAACAAGGUAGAGGAGGACGGCCACAGGGAGGAUGGUUGAAAACAGGUUGGUCAUGAGGAGCUGCUCACGUCGCCGUCCGGAGUGGGGAGCCGGGAGUGGGCGCACAAGACGAGUAGGCCAUCCAGUCCAGUCUCGACCUCGUUGUCCAGCCCCGUGAAAGAGCUCUGUCACGGGCAAGGGCGAGGCUUCCAGCCUCGACGUUGUUGUUUCGAUCCUGGCCGGCCAAGCGCGGGCACUUCUCCCGAUUCAGAAUAAACUCUAGAUGGGGAUCGAUGUGGUAAUCUUGAUCUUCAGCCUGCUGCCAGCCCUAACCUACGGUGACACGGAAAUGGAAGCAAGUAGGCGUCCACCUAGGCGCUUCAGUCCAUGAACGCCCAGCUGCAAAGCCACCGGCUCCCAUCGGCUUCUCGCUCUAGGGCUCGAGGCCUGCAAGGACUUACUGCCGACAACACGGGUCGCUGACGCGGACCAAGAGUCGCCUUCCAGGCCCUCCACCAGCACGUCGCAGCAACCCCCUCAAUUCCGGUUAUGCUCCACCGAGAGCAAGACCACCACAGUACAAGAAGAUAUACGGGGAUAAAUCUUUGCCAGUGGCAGCGGUGGCCUCCUCUUGGUCUUAAUGUUGUAGCAUUUAUCCUCUGUCCAAGUAAGAAGAACAGAUCAAGCGCCACCAUGGUGCUGUCAUUGUGGAGCGCCGAGUACGCAAGCCCUGCCGUGGCACCGUACGAGCCGAGCUUCUUCAACCAGUGGUAGUCGCUAGAGCAGUACAAGGAGGAGCGGAUUAACAUGGCAUUCAUGAAGGGGAGAAAUGGAUGUGGCCCUGAUGCAGUAGCGGUAGUGGAGUAUUAAAGAUGGAGAUGGCCAGGAGGUAGCCAUGGUUUCGACUACUUCAACUUUCCUUGCUGCCAUGUGAUGGAGGCGAGUUCACUGUGUCGCAGCCAUGGCAGCGUCCGCUUUCUUCUAGGACUCCAUGCGCUAGCUUAUUGUGUUCCACGGCCUCCUCACUGGUAGACUUGUAUGCGAGAAGGUCAAUCCGGGCAGUGCAGCAGGCGUUCCGGAGCGAGAUGAUGGUGACGAGGGUGCCCAAACGUUUGGACAUGAGCUGGAUGAGAAGCUUCCCAUGAUCAAGUGCUGUCCCACAGCGGUGUUGUCCAGUAGCACAAGUGCUGUCCUCGGCGGCGCUUAUGAGAAGUCCAAGAAGAAGGAGCAAUCAAGUCUCUCAUCUGGAGGUAUAUCUUUCAAAGGCUUCCCUUGAGGAAAGAGGACCGGUAAGGAUGACAUCCUCAAUGACCUUACCUCAUGGCGGCCCUUUUGACAAAGAGGUUAUGGCGGCUCUUCAGGAUGGUGCACUGGAUACUGAUAGUCUGAUGCACGUUGUGAACCACUUGGAAAGAUAUACAUACACAUCGACUGGACGGCCAGAGCAGCAGCUAGACAUGUAUUGAGGACUUGGGAGCAUUUGGUCCCGCUUACAGGUAGACAAGGAACAACAUAUUUCCUUUCAUGCAGAUUAACGUGACAUGUUGUUGUGGGUGAGUGGAGUUCCUGGAUAGAUGGAGUAAAAUUGGUCAAGUAGAAUGAAUAAAUUGGCGAGGCGUAGUGUACAUUUUUCUACUCGACAUAUACUUUCUUUAGGGGGAGCUGAUUUAUAGUUUGCUUCAAAUUGCCUACCGUGCUGAGCUACCCUGCCAACUUGGCCUAGGACUAAGCCAACCCGAAGGUGGGUCCCAUCAUAAAGAAGAUGAUGUCCCAGUGAACGUCAUGAGAAGUAGAUGAACUCUCAGGUGAAGAGUGUCGUCUUUUUUGUGGAUGGGGAUUGGUGAAGAGUGUCGUGUCUUUGUCAUGAGGAUCUUACUUAUGCUGGCUUUCACAUUGCUUGUGUGUUGGAUGUGGAACACCUUGGGCUUAGUGGGCUGGAUGUGUUAGAAAGAUACUUCUUUCUAAUUGCUUGUUCACUGUGUUAUUACUUUGUGUUCCUGCUCCCUAUAGUUUAUCCGAAUAAUGAGCGUCAUGUUAUCCAAAUUAGUUGUGAAGUCAGUUGACAAUGAAACCAGAGUAGGUUCAAAUUGUGUAUGCAGUAUUGCAAAAGUACAUGCUUAGGUGUCUUCUGUCAGUGCUUAUUUUCUUGAUGUCGUGUGCAUGCUUUGAAUUUGAUACUGUCCUAUUUGAACUAUUAGUUUGUUUACGGAUGACAAGUGUUAGAUGUAAUUAUGCAACUUGCGGAAGUUUUUUAUACUUCUUGUAGACAUAAUGGUGUACGGCAAGAACUAGUUCUCUGUGUUAAACUAAUUUUGCAAAUAGUUACAUCUAUGAUCCCUUAAAAAAAUAUGCCAGGUAGUAUGGAAUGAUACAUCGACUUUGAGCAUUUCUUGUGUGCCAUCUCUACAUUUUAUGAAGAAAAUACCAGGUACAUGUUCUGGGUUCAUGUCUGAAUAGUACAAAUCUAGAAGAGACUGUCUCUGAAUGUGAGCAGCAAAUAAAUAAUUUAAGAUGGUGUCUGAAUGUGAGAACACAUGGGUCUGGCACACAUAAGUGAGCCUGACAGACUGGUACAAUCGGCUAGAUACUUGAUUUUGCUCUUCAUAGUGCAUCUAGUAAACUUUGAAGGAAUAUGUUGCCUAUUUGCUCCUUGAUUUCCGCCUGAAUUGUAAAUUGUUUUCUAGAUUUAGUAAUCCUACUUUAGUUGUGUUUUUGUAUUUCGGCGGAGAAAUGGAGGUGGCCAGCAGAGGUGGCUCUGGUCCCUGGAUCCAGGCAGCAAGUAGCCUGUGGGUUUGGGUACUUUUCUGGUUGCCUAUUGUGUUGUCUGGGAUCAAUCGUGUGGGAGUGCAAUGAAUGCUUCUUUGCACUAAUACCAGUUAUGGUGAGAUACAUAGCGAGCAACCAGCACUAUUUCGGUUGAGCUCAUCAUGCUUGGUGGUCUAGAUUAUAGUUUUACUAUAAUGAGGUGAGUUGUGAAUUCAGGUAUAGCAUUUACAGCAUUUUGCAUUAUUGUGCCUUGGAAACUUCUCAUUUUCCAUUAUAAUAUCCCAAUGAUAGGCUCAUUGAAAUUCCAAACUUUGAGAUGGUCUGCUUGUCUUUUAGUUGAGAUAUGAAGCUAUCUUCAUCUGCAUUCCAGAGUGCCAGCCUGCUACAUAGAACCUUACUACAUACAUACUGGGUGCAUAUUAACCUAAGAGCCAAAACACCAUGUCCUAAAUCAUCAUGCUAUUUGCUAUUGUUGUUUUUCCUUUUUGUAAUGGACAGAAAACCAGUGAGUAAUGCUCUGGUUGUGUUGUGUGGGUUGUUUAGUCAAAACCCUCAUUGAAAUCUAUUUAUUCUUGCUAGAUGUGCUCUAGAACUGACCAAGAUAGGUUCUUGUGCAAGGAUGACGACGAGGACUAGAUGGCAGCCAGGGUAGCAGCUGUGACCUGUAGCAGCUGCAGCUUGGUGCAUCUUACUCGGAUGGCAGCUUGAAGACUCGUGGGACAAUGGACAUCUUCAUAUAUACGGCUUGGUCGUUGAACAAUCUCUAAGCAGCUGCAGCUUUCUUUCUAGCUUAUUUAUCUCUGCGAUAUUUAUGGUUGCAACCGAGCUUUGAGAUUUGAGAGCGCAUGAUUGUGUUGUACGUCCCAACUUUCAUUGAUGUUUGUUGUUUGGUAUUGCACUAUUUUUGUUUAAUUAUUCCUUUGGUUGA
Long non-coding RNA from Lolium rigidum, 3867 nucleotides. RefSeq lists it as uncharacterized. NCBI's taxonomy places the organism in Eukaryota, Viridiplantae, Streptophyta, Magnoliopsida, Poales, Poaceae. The record is from RefSeq and is a predicted model, not a curated record. The transcript is spliced from 11 exons.